Molecule: transfer RNA, 64 nt
Filed under: Anolis carolinensis (green anole)
Lineage: Eukaryota; Metazoa; Chordata; Lepidosauria; Squamata; Anolidae
Rfam family: tRNA
About the family: Transfer RNA (tRNA) molecules are approximately 80 nucleotides in length.
Source: Rfam by way of RNAcentral
GGUCAAGUGCUUUGGGCAUUGGACUAUGACUCUGAAGACCAGGGUUCAAAUCCCUGCAUGACCA